AUUGAACGCUGGCGGCAUGCCUUACACAUGCAAGUCGAACGGCAGCACGGGAGCAAUCCUGGUGGCGAGUGGCGAACGGGUGAGUAAUAUAUCGGAACGUGCCCAGUCGUGGGGGAUAACGUAGCGAAAGCUACGCUAAUACCGCAUACGAUCUAUGGAUGAAAGCGGGGGAUCGCAAGACCUCGCGCGAUUGGAGCGGCCGAUAUCAGAUUAGUAGUUGGUGAGGUAAAGGCUCGCCAAGCCGACGAUCUGUAGCUGGUCUGAGA
This 266-nucleotide ribosomal RNA is filed under the name uncultured bacterium. RNAcentral's name for it is "partial 16S ribosomal RNA". It matches the Rfam family "Bacterial small subunit ribosomal RNA", at positions 30 to 297 of the family's 1533-position model. The record is from RNAcentral.